UCACAAAUGAGCAAGACUACUAGCCAAGAAAUUAUGCACAUAAACUCAUCAUAGGAAAUUAACUUGGAAGACAACUUUCAUGAUUCAUGCAACUGCAACUAUAUGAACUACUAACACAUUCUAAACACAAGCAUAUAUAAAAAAAACACGUACUAAUAUGAAACUAUAUGAGAUAAUAUGCUAGCUAAUAUGCUAACUAUAUGCAUCAUGCAACCUAUAUGAACACACACUACUACUAGUCCUUAGAUUACCACCCCCAAACUUAAAAUAUUCAAUGUCCUCAUUGAAGGUGAUAAAAAGGAUCGAAUGUACCUA
This 315-nucleotide long non-coding RNA is filed under the name Daucus carota (carrot). Its description in RNAcentral is "long non-coding RNA (DCAR_LNC003631)". Lineage: Eukaryota; Viridiplantae; Streptophyta; Magnoliopsida; Apiales; Apiaceae. The record is from RNAcentral.